GUGAUUAAUAAUGCAGAAGAAGAAAGCCUGAGAGUUAUUGUGCUGUGUGGGUUCUGGGAGGCAGCAAUCAUUGCACUGGGCUAACAAGUUCCAGAAAUGGUCCAAACAGACUUCAACAAUUCUGUGCUAAAAUGAUGGUCUUGUGAGGAGGAUUCAAGCUCAUCUGUACUUUAUCACCACCUCUGCCUCCUGUAGAUCAAACAGCCAGAGGUUCCUGUUUCUUCAAGAGGCCUGCAACCACCCCACCCCUGAAGGCCAAUGAUAAGUAGUUGUGGAAAAUGGAUCUCUGACUAUCCAGUCUCUUAAGAUUAAGAAAUGGAUGUCUGAGGGAGAAGAUGAGGGCAGUAUGUGCUAUGGCUGUACUGGCUGGUUCUGUGUGUCAACUUGACUUAUGUUAAGAAUCAUCGGAGAGGAAGGAGCCUCGGUUGAGAAAAUGCCUCCAUGAGAUCCAGCUGUAAGACAUUUUCUCAAUUAGUGAUUGAUGUGGGAGAAAGCAAGCUGAGCAAGCCAUGGGAAGCAAGCCAGUCAGCAGCACCCCUCCAUGACCUGUGCAUCAGCUCCUGCCUCCAGGUUCCAGCCCUGCAUGAGUUCCUGUCUUGAAUUCCUACAAAGAUGAACUGUGAUCUGAAAGUACAAGCCAAAUAAACCCUUUCCUCCCC
Mus caroli (Ryukyu mouse) is the source of this 659-nucleotide non-coding RNA. The record is from RefSeq and is a predicted model, not a curated record. Lineage: Eukaryota; Metazoa; Chordata; Mammalia; Rodentia; Muridae.